GCGGAGGUUUUUGCAGUUGGUUAGCGCGUAGGUCUCAUAUACUCUGUAUGACUUGGGAUUUUUCCUAAGGUCGAGGGUUCGAACCCCUUUUUUUUUU
This 97-nucleotide transfer RNA is filed under the name Pleodorina starrii. RNAcentral's name for it is "tRNA-Met". Lineage: Eukaryota; Viridiplantae; Chlorophyta; Chlorophyceae; Chlamydomonadales; Volvocaceae. The record is from RNAcentral.